This is a long non-coding RNA of Vigna unguiculata (cowpea), 878 nucleotides long. Lineage: Eukaryota; Viridiplantae; Streptophyta; Magnoliopsida; Fabales; Fabaceae. The record is from RefSeq and is a predicted model, not a curated record.
CAACUUCCCUCCUCUCCAUCAUUUCUGCCUCAAGUGUUGUACCUAAGCUCACCGAAAACUUGACCACCGCGAAACAUCACCCCACCGCUGCAUGCGUCCCCACUGUCACCAGUGGUUCUGGCCAAAAUGUUUCUUUUCCCAAACCCACGACCACCUCCGGUUCUAGGUCGUUGUUCCUCCCUUCUGCGUUUCUUUGAGCGCAGUUGUUACUCCUUUCCCGUGGUAGUGCCCCCUUCGUUCCACAGGAAACAAGGUGUUAAAGACCAAGAAGCGGGUUGUUGUUGCUACGCGUGGUGAGUUAUCUCGAUCAAAAGUACGACAGAAGACUUCUUAACCAGCAUCUGAAUAUGGAGCACAUGAAAUGAGACUAUGCUACAAAAACUAAAAGUAGCAACGUUUGUAAUGUGAUACAGAAUGUUCAUAUUAUAAUUCAGGAAAUCUUGAGGAGUGAAUGUGGGAAAGGAAUAACAUAAAUGUUGGAAAUUCUUCAUAGACACAUCAUUUUGAUUCAUUCACACUACAAAGUGACUUUAAACUUCGAACAAUAUUCAUUUAUUGUUGGAGUAAAUGGAACUCUAUGUGAUUGUUUUAAAUUAGAAUUAUGUCUCAUUAUUCUUGUAUGUUUCAAGUGAUCCACUGGAAAGACCGAUCACAAGAUCACAUGAUGACUCAUUGUCCAAAUUUCAAGUUCUAGAGACAGUGACUAUUAACAUCAUCCCACACUGAAUGCUAAUUGAAAGUUUUCGAACUUUUUGUCUAGAACUUUGUUAUUCUUGGCAAUGAGAAUCCAUCAAAUCUUCUUCCAUAUCUUCAUACCCUUGUGCAUUAUAUACUUGAAUAUCAUCAUCAACGUAGCAACAUCACACAGUCUUCACCAU